This 445-nucleotide ribosomal RNA is filed under the name uncultured bacterium. RNAcentral describes it as "bacterial SSU rRNA". It matches the Rfam family "Bacterial small subunit ribosomal RNA", at positions 235 to 692 of the family's 1533-position model. The record is from RNAcentral.
AGCCUAUCAGGUAGUUGGUGAGGUAAUGGCUCACCAAGCCUACGACGGGUAGCCGGCCUGAGAGGGUGACCGGCCACACUGGGACUGAGACACGGCCCAGACUCCUACGGGAGGCAGCAGUGGGGAAUAUUGCACAAUGGGCGAAAGCCUGAUGCAGCAACGCCGCGUGAGGGACGACGGCCUUCGGGUUGUAAACCUCUUUUAGUAGGGAAGAAGCGAAAGUGACGGUACCUGCAGAAAAAGCACCGGCUAACUACGUGCCAGCAGCCGCGGUAAUACGUAGGGUGCAAGCGUUGUCCGGAAUUAUUGGGCGUAAAGAGCUCGUAGGCGGUUUGUCGCGUCUGCUGUGAAAUCCGGAGGCUCAACCUCCGGCCUGCAGUGGGUACGGGCAGACUAGAGUGCGGUAGGGGAGAUUGGAAUUCCUGGUGUAGCGGUGGAAUGCGCA